UAAUCAAAUCAGUGCUUAAUCUCCCAUAGCGAUUAGGUCAUCCCAUAACCUAAUUGUAUUUGACUUAAUUGAAUCCAAUUCAAUUAGACUUAAUUCAGACUUUAAUGCUCAAUCAAAUUAAAUUAAUUAAAAAUAUAAUUACCAAAUAAUCCUUCUAAACAUCACCAACUCUUAAUGAAUUAAUUUACUGCAACUAUUGUUUAAGAGUAGUCAUCAAUCACAUUGACGAUUUUACCCUUGGAUAAUUCUUAAUCGUCGAUUAGCCAU
This 267-nucleotide long non-coding RNA is filed under the name Elaeis guineensis (African oil palm). Its description in RNAcentral is "long non-coding RNA (EGUI_LNC063104)". The record is from RNAcentral. Lineage: Eukaryota; Viridiplantae; Streptophyta; Magnoliopsida; Arecales; Arecaceae.